CAAUACAGUGGCCAUUUUACCGAUUACAUAAGGUACAAUAAUUUACAACUUAUUUUAUGUGUGAUUUUUCCAUCUUCAGGAGGUCAUUCAUGUACAAGCUUGCGAAUUAUCAACAAUAAUCAUCUGGUGAAACUGGGUAGACUAAAUACACUGUGACUAACUAUUUGGCCAAGUGUUUUGCCAGCACAAUUGAACCCUAACAGGCCACCUAUUUGACUUUCUGAAAAAUACACCUUUGAUCUACUUUCCGUGAAUGUUGCAACUCCCACAAACCAUACAAUACAACACUGCAGAG
Phlebotomus argentipes is the source of this 295-nucleotide long non-coding RNA. RefSeq lists it as uncharacterized. The record is from RefSeq and is a predicted model, not a curated record. NCBI's taxonomy places the organism in Eukaryota, Metazoa, Arthropoda, Insecta, Diptera, Psychodidae. The transcript has 3 exons.